GGAGUCUGGUCCGUGUCUCAGUACCAGUGUGGGGGAUAAGCCUCUCAGCUCCCCUAGACAUCGUCGGCUUGGUGGGCCGUUGCCCCGCCAACUACCUAAUGCCACGCAUGCCCAUCCGUAACCACCAAGGCUUUCGCCGCCUGACCAUGCGGCCAAACGGCUAUAUGGGGUAUUAGUGGAAAUUUCUCUCCGUUAUCCCCCUGUUACGGGCAGGUUGCAUACGCGUUACGCACCCGUGCGCCGGUCGCCGGCAGUGUAUUGCUACACCCCGCUGCCCCUCGACUUGCAUGUGUUAAGCCUGCCGCUAGCGUUCAUC
Molecule: ribosomal RNA, 316 nt
Filed under: uncultured Bacteroidales bacterium
Lineage: Bacteria; Pseudomonadati; Bacteroidota; Bacteroidia; Bacteroidales
Description: partial 16S ribosomal RNA
Source: RNAcentral